This 365-nucleotide ribosomal RNA is filed under the name Foraminifera environmental sample. RNAcentral describes it as "SSU rRNA". It matches the Rfam family "Eukaryotic small subunit ribosomal RNA", at positions 1129 to 1441 of the family's 1831-position model. Lineage: Eukaryota; Foraminifera. The record is from RNAcentral.
ACGCAAGUGUGAAACUUGAAGGAAUUGACGGAAGGGCACCACAAGAACGCGUGGAGCAUGUGGCUUAAUUUGACCCAACGCGGGAAAUCUUACCGGGUCCGGACACACUGAGGAUUGACAGGCAAUAUUAGCAAGAACUAAACUUGUUUAGUUUCUUGUUAUGUUAAAUAUGCUAGUCCUUUCAUGAUUAUGUGAUAGGUGGUGCAUGGCCGUUCUUAGUUCGUGGAGUGAUCUGUCUGCUUAAUUGCGUUUCACUAAGGGCCUAUAAUUUAACGUGUGUUGCGGCACUUUGACCCCUCUUCGGAGCGCGUGUCUUAGUUUGUUUAGCUCACACAAUUAGGUCCUGAAAGCAACGAACGUGACCG